GAUGAACGCUGGCGGUAUGCUUAACACAUGCAAGUCGAACGGACUCUUCGGAGUUAGUGGCGGACGGGUGAGUAACGCGUGAGAAUCUGGCUUUGGGUUCGGGACAACCACUGGAAACGGUGGCUAAUACCGGAUGUGCCGAGAGGUAAAAGAGAAAUUGCCUGAAGAUGAGCUCGCGUCUGAUUAGCUAGUUGGUGAGGUAAAGGCUCACCAAGGCAGCGAUCAGUAGCUGGUCUGAGAGGAUGACCAGCCACACUGGGACUGAGACACGGCCCAGACUCCUGCGGGAGGCAGCAGUGGGGAAUUUUCCGCAAUGGGCGAAAGCCUGACGGAGCAAUACCGCGUGAGGGAAGAAGGCUCUUGGGUUGUAAACCUCUUUUCUUAGGGAAGAACAAAAUGACGGUACCUAAGGAAUCAGCAUCGGCUAACUCCGUG
RNAcentral lists this ribosomal RNA (435 nucleotides) under uncultured bacterium. RNAcentral describes it as "partial 16S ribosomal RNA". It matches the Rfam family "Bacterial small subunit ribosomal RNA", at positions 28 to 507 of the family's 1533-position model. The record is from RNAcentral.